GGGCCGUUGGCGCAGCGGUAGCGCACCUCAUUUGCAAUGAGGGGGUCGCCGGUUCGAAUCCGGCACGGUCCA
This 72-nucleotide transfer RNA is filed under the name bacterium. RNAcentral's name for it is "tRNA-Ala". It matches the Rfam family "tRNA". From Rfam's summary of the family: Transfer RNA (tRNA) molecules are approximately 80 nucleotides in length. The record is from RNAcentral.